This 253-nucleotide unclassified non-coding RNA is filed under the name uncultured Parcubacteria group bacterium. RNAcentral's name for it is "contains 16S-23S intergenic spacer region". It matches the Rfam family "Bacterial small subunit ribosomal RNA", at positions 524 to 776 of the family's 1533-position model. The record is from RNAcentral.
UACGAGUGCCUCAAGCGUUAUCCGGUAUCACUGGGCGUAAAGAGCAUGUAGGCGGUCUUGUUAGUCCUUCGUUAAAGCUCCUGGCUUAACCGGGAAGGUGCGAGGGAAACGGCAAGACUAGAGGGCGAGAGAGGUUUGCGGAACUCAUGGUGUAGGGGUGAAAUCCGUUGAUAUCAUGGGGAACACCGAAUGCGAAGGCAGCAAACUGGCACGUUCCUGACGCUGAGAUGCGAAAGCGUGGGUAGCGAAUGGG